GCACUUGGGGCACAAACGGUUAAAUAUUUUCAACGGAAGAAACAACUCCAUAUCGUUGAACUGUCCGAUCCUGGUUAAGAUAUUGAAGCUCUUUGUUUCUCGCUGCGUUUUAAAUUGUUAAGAAGCACAUAAACUUUAGCAUCUGGCCGAUUUUAUAUCUCCUCCAUCAACAAUACUAAUUAAAAAAAAAUCUAAUUUUCUAAACUUUCGUAUAUCUCUUUUACAAAUGAUAAUAAUUUUCCAAAUUUUCAUCCUAUCUAGUACGACCUGGCAAAAGCGCCUACAUAUUCGCCAAUACAAGUCUUGGACUUCCGCACGGUAGAAUCGGUCACGGCGGUCCAUUGGAAGCAGGCAGCAGGGAAGACAAGGCGCGUUUAAAAUGCGUCCGACAUCGGUAGCUGGCGGCGUUAUCGGAAUUAAGUAACCGAUGAUUCACGUUCCGCCAUGAAAUACAAACAAUGGUAUCGGAAUAACGACACGUCCCGCCUCUCUCAUCGCUCGGCUAUCUUGACCAACUUAUUUGCAUACCGGGCGGACCGACCGGUCGGCAGCCACCGCGAGAGCUGAAUUUACACUUGAGAAGCCGCUCGAAUUAUCGUUUGACAAAUUUCUUAGAAAAUUGUCUCGUACACCGGGUCAGCCGGCCACUCGUGAUGCUAAUUUAUGUGUGGCGGAAGCAUCAUUAUGCGUGCCACGUAUAUAUACCUGCUACCCGUAUAUAUAUGUACAUGUGCAUACAGGGUGUCCCAGAGUUUAACAAAUUUAGUAAAUUCUAAGAUUAUAAGGCCAACUUUAAGGUUAUAAUUAUAAAAUGUUAUAUGUAUAAAAUAUAGUGGUUUGUGUUAGUAUUUGAACACCAUUUUUUAUGUAUUACGUUUGCGAUAAAUAUUUUAUAAUUUCUAUGUAAGUUUCCAGAUUGGUUUGAAAUUUGUCCAACAUAACCGUGACGAUUGUCUCAUCAUUCCCUAUUCGUGAAAUUUCAAAAUGUUUUUAUGAUAUAUUAUAUAAUAUAGGGUGAUCCAGAGUUUGGCAGCUAAAUUUUGUUACAACUUUGCGUGGGUAUUUCUAUAGUGAUACACGAUACAGUAAUAAAUUCAACUUUUCUUGCGAAUUAUAUAUUAACAACCAACGAUUACGUUGAUUGUAAAUUUAUUCUUGUCUUAUAGCAUGAUAAUCCUGACGAGUCCGUUAUUGUCCCUUUUGCAUUUCCUAUUUUUAUUAUAACUUUUCGAUAAAGCUUCGAAUAAGAUACGUUUAUAAAAUACUUUUCGCCUGAUUAUACUCAUAGAAUACAUCUACCAAAUUUUAAAUCCUGGCACACCGUGUAUGUGUCUAUAUAUGACAACAUACUGGCGUGACGCAUAUUCUCGAAAGACGGGGUCUAGUAAGCUCUCGAGCAUAAUUCAACGGGUGAAUGUUGGCUAUAUCCAUGGAAAUGCGGCUUUUCAGCGUUUCACAGCUACUUGGACAGGGAAAAUUGGAAAUUUAAGAUGACCUACUACCUAAAUGACAAACCAAUUAUCUCCUAUAAGCUUAAUCCUUUCAAAGUCUCAAUUAGCGUGGUAUUCAGAUAUUUCCUUCUUUUUUUUCUUGUAGAAAUAUAUUCGCUCGUGGUAUGCAUUUACCAUUAAUUUGGAUUAUUCAUCGUGUUUACAGGAAGCCCUAGCUGACCUACCUCAUGCAGCUGGAACCUAUUUUCCUCGAACGAGAAAACUCGGUGAACAAUACAGUCGGAGGCAAAAAUAAGUUAAAUAGGUGGUGGAAAUAAGGUAUCGACGACGUUUCGUUAAAUACGGUCUGUUUACACAGAUGUAAAUGAGACGUACGUACCACAGCGUACACAGUAGCGGGUAAAAGGAAAUUUAAACGUAAGUGGUACAAUAGACACCAUAAUUUUACAAGACAGAUUGUAUUUGAGGAGAAAAGCGACUAGAUAUAAUAUGAAACUCUAGAGCGGUCAGCAACAUGCUGAAAAAUAGCUAACGGAAAGGUCAUUAAUAUACUCGCAUACACAAAAUUACUUUCGAAUAAUUAUUUAUAAUUACUAACAGAUCUUGAAAUUAUUAACUGCUUAGCGAAUUUUAAACUUCCUUUUGUCCGCUGCUUUGUAAUAAAUGAAACUUAAUUAUAUCAGUACAAUAUAACGUUAGAACUAAUUCGAUGAAACUUCAUUGAUACCUACCUUCCGCUAUCUGUCCAAUUAUUUUUGUCUCCGACUGUAUCUCGGACACAGAAAGGACGACGGAAGAAGGCGAGCGCACCGGUUACGUUACAGGGUAAUUUAUCAGAGCACAAGAUCUUCCGGUUACUGGUAGUGGCAUGUAAUAACGAAGACGACGACGACGACGAAUACACCGCCUGGAUUGUAUUUGUGUAAUGGUUACAUCGCGGACGAAAAAUCUGUAUGGAACGCGAACGUCGGUGCGGCAAGUUGUGUGCUAGGGAAGGUAGAAGAGCAAAGAGCCGUAGAGAGUGACAAAUUUUACGAGAGGCCGGGAAAAAAGAAGAGACGGGAAACAUGGUGAAAGUUACGAGAAUCGAAGAGCAGGGGGAACGGGAGAUGGAAAAUUACGAUGGUAAAAAAAGAUAGAGAGAAGAGAGAGGUUUACAGAGGAAGAUAUUGACUCGUUCGAUAAUUUUGCAGCGUUUUAAACAGUCUGUUUGUUCUAUUACAUCUUGUAUACUCGUACACAGCCGAGAUUUAAACAUAAUUAAUUUUCUACUUUGGAAAAUACUGCGUCGCUAAUACUAAUUUUAGCUGCACAUCAAGUGCAUCUAUUAAAGGAACAAAUCGGGUAUUUGUCAAUAGAAGGAAGGUGAUUUUUCAACGAGAAACAUUUUGUAUUUUAUAUUUUGUAUAAAGGCUAGGUAAAGAAUGAUCGACAUUUAUCAACCGUCUAUUCCAUCGUGUUUAUAUUCUGAUAAAUGAACACUGCAGAAGACUUUCAAACGUACUCCAGGGAAUUCAUUGGUAAGUUGGUUGAGUAAAAUAAAGCGCAAUAUCGCAGGCAAAACGUUACAAAAAAAUAUAUUUUAUUAUACGAUAUCUGUAUAAAGCGAUAGAUAUUUUAACGGGGGAAAAAAAAAAAAAACAGAUGUAGAGAUAUAAGGCAAAUUAUCACAUCGAAGAAUCACGGUGUUCCAUAAUAUACAACAAAUUUAAUUAUUCUCUGCAAAGAUCAAGAUUGAAUUUUAUGAUAUAAAAGCUUAGGUGACUCGAAUAAGUCUACCUUAUCGCGUAUACGUCUAUAAGAAAAAGGGAGAAACAGAAAAGUGGCAAGGACACGCAGAGAGAACGCGCAUUACAAUCGAGAGCGCAAUGAGCGCGCAGCGAUAUGCAUCGCGGCCGAAAAAGCUCGGAAACCGAGCAGGAGCGGGCUCAGCGGCUUAAGUGAUUUGCAUGCGCGACAGGUGCACACUGCGGAGUCGGUGUAUUACGUGUUUAAUUCACGUGUCUUGCAUACUCGGCACUCCGAUUCCACUGAUUUCCAUAAUACAGCGCCGGCAAGAGCGCCCCGCUAGAUCCGAAUGGAUUUUUUAGCACGCGGAAACAGACCCCACCGAUCGUUUAUGUAUAUGAAAUGUACGCGAUUUCUCGUUGUGACGCGUCGGUACGAUACUAAUGCUACCGUUUCAGUUUAUAGUGUUUCAAAUCGAUGAUCACAUAGGAGAAACACGAUAAUUCAUUGAUUUUCUGAUUUUUGUGUCGUUUGGUGAUCAGAAGAUGGUACUUUAAUAUGGUAUUGUUAAUAGUUGAAAGAUUAUGUCUUCAUGUUCACACAUAAGAAUUCUGAAAUUAAGUAACAAACGUAUCAAGUAUUAUAAAAAAGAAAAACAGCUGAGACAUGGAUAUUUUUUAAGUAUUGUAAGUAAAAUGUAUCGAGUUACUUGACACGUGAAUUGAAUGAAUCUUAACAUUGAUAUCCAGCAAAGAAAAAAAAGGUAUAUGACCGAAAAUGUUCUUUUCCUAUGGCCUCAAUUGAGAAUGAUUAAACUUAUGAGAAAAACGCUAUGGAAAAAUAUGGAAGAAAUUAGAAGUUCGACUAUAUUAGUUUGCUACUGUUCCUAGAAUGAAAUUCAAAAGAAAGUGAUUAUAAGAGAAGUCGUAAAUACGGACGACUAUUUUUCAGCAAUAAAAACGACUUGUUGGAAGUAA
This is a long non-coding RNA of Bombus terrestris (buff-tailed bumblebee), 4156 nucleotides long. RefSeq lists it as uncharacterized. NCBI's taxonomy places the organism in Eukaryota, Metazoa, Arthropoda, Insecta, Hymenoptera, Apidae. The transcript is spliced from 2 exons. The record is from RefSeq and is a predicted model, not a curated record.